CACUUGCACAUGGGUUAGUCGAU
Molecule: non-coding RNA, 23 nt
Filed under: Arabidopsis thaliana (thale cress)
Lineage: Eukaryota; Viridiplantae; Streptophyta; Magnoliopsida; Brassicales; Brassicaceae
Source: RNAcentral